AGUGAACGCUGGCGGUAGGCCUAACACAUGCAAGUCGAACGGCAGCACAGUAAGAGCUUGCUCUUACGGGUGGCGAGUGGCGGACGGGUGAGGAAUACAUCGGAAUCUACUUUUUCGUGGGGGAUAACGUAGGGAAACUUACGCUAAUACCGCAUACGACCUACGGGUGAAAGCAGGGGAUCUUCUGACCUUGCGCGGUUGAAUGAGCCGAUGUCGGAUUAGCUAGUUGGCGGGGUAAAGGCCCACCAAGGGGACGAUCCGUAGCUGGUCUGAGAGGCUGAUCAGCCACACUGGAACUGAGACACGGUCCAGACUCCUACGGGAGGCAGCAGUGGGGAAUAUUGGACAAUGGGCGCAAGCCUGAUCCAGCCAUACCGCGUGGGUGAAGAAGGCCUUCGGGUUGUAAAGCCGUUUUGUUGGGAAAGAAAAGCAGCAGGUUAAUACCCCGCUGUUCUGACGGUACCCAAAGAAUAAGCACCGGCUAACUUCGUG
RNAcentral lists this ribosomal RNA (492 nucleotides) under uncultured bacterium. RNAcentral's name for it is "partial 16S ribosomal RNA". It matches the Rfam family "Bacterial small subunit ribosomal RNA", at positions 29 to 507 of the family's 1533-position model. The record is from RNAcentral.